CGUAGGGUGCGAGCCGUUAAUCGGAAUUACUGGGCGUAAAGCGUGCGCAGGCGGUUUUGUAAGACAGGCGUGAAAUCCCCGGGCUCAACCUGGGAACUGCGCUUGUGACUGCAAGGCUAGAGUACGGCAGAGGGGGGUGGAAUUCCACGUGUAGCAGUGAAAUGCGUAGAGAUGUGGAGGAACACCAAUGGCGAAGGCAGCCCCCUGGGUCGAUACUGACGCUCAUGCACGAAAGCGUGGGUAGCAAACAGGAUUAGAUACCCUGGUAGUCCACGCCCUAAACGAUGUCAACUAGGUGUUGGGUGGGUAAAACCAUUUAGUACCGGAGCUAACGCGUGAAGUUGACCGCCUGGGGAGUACGGCCGCAAGGUUA
Molecule: ribosomal RNA, 373 nt
Filed under: uncultured organism
Description: bacterial SSU rRNA
Rfam family: Bacterial small subunit ribosomal RNA
Source: RNAcentral